AUGGGUCAGCUGAUGCUCAAUCGGGUGAUAUCGAUGCAGCGGGAAAGUCGUCGCCUGCAAAUACAACCCCAUAAUGGACCAGCUGAUUCAAUGGUUGACAGAAAGGACUCAACCUGCAAACAAGACCAUUGUUCCCAAGGUGGUGAAAUACAAUACCCUGGGCCACAUCUUCCAGAGGAUAUUUGGUGUCAUAUAUAUUCCCUACUGCCAAUGCGAGAUGCUGCUCGAGCUGCUUGUGUGUCUCAUGCAUUUAAACGUUCUUGGAGAUGCUAUCCGAACCUUGCUUUCAAUAUGAUAACAUUGGGCAUUGAUAUAGAAUCAUGUGGAGAGGACGGAAUAGCAAGAAAUUUUACCAACAAAGUUGACCACAUUUUGAAAAACCGCCCAUGCAUUGCCACCAAGACGCUCGAGAUUGUUUUCCGUUACUACAAUGCCAAAGUCUGUAACAUUGAUAGCUGGUUUCAGGCUGCUGUUACACCGGGGAUUGAAGAACUCACUAUAGAACUAUCUUCAAAGUCAGGAAGAUAUUACAACUUUCCGUGGUCACUUUUAGCCAAUGAGAGUGGAAACUCGAUUCGGUAUCUAAAUCUUGCCCGUUGUGCUUUCUCUCCGACUGACGAGUUGUGCUUUAAAAGCUUGUCAAGACUCGAGCUAAGCGAUGUUGCUAUUACGGGGGACCAGUUGGGAUCCAUUCUUCACAAUUCUUUUGCUUUGCAACGGAUGCAACUAAAGUUUUGCAAUAAGAUAAUUUGCUUGAAGAUACCUUUUCAUCUACAACAGCUCAGAUAUCUGGACGUGUUUGAUGGCGGCAGCUCGCUGCGGGUUAUAGAGGUAGAAGCUCCAAACCUCUCUAAUUUCCAGUUUAUGGGUCAUCGCAAAGUACACCUAUCGUUUGGAGUAGGAUUGCAAUUCAAGAAGUUUGACCUGUACUUUCCUGGUGCUAUCAGCUAUGUUUGUGCUGAUUUUCUGUCCAGCUUGCGAUAUGUUGAAGAUCUUUCCCUAGGUUCACGUUGUGAGAUGAUUGAUACACCAGUUCUACAUAGCAAAUUCCUGCAUCUCAAGCACUUGAAUGUUGAUCUUCAAGCAAUGACAUUUUCCCCGACCUACGACUAUUGUUCUUUGAUAUCACUUUUUGAUGCUUCUCCUUUCUUGGAGACCCUUGUCAUGAAUGUGUUGCAGCAAAAGAUGUUGCACGAGUCAAUCGUGGGAGAUGCAUCACAUUUGAGGCAGAUGCCAGGACACCACCAUGAUAGCCUCAAGACAGUGAAGAUCAUUGGUUUCUCCUCUGCGAAGAGCUUAGUAGAGCUAACAUGCCAUAUCAUUGAGAAUACGAGCUCACUUGAGAGCCUUACAUUGAACACCACAACAGGACAUCCUUUCGACAGCUGUUUAACCAACAAUACUGGAAAGUGCAACCUGUUGGGCGUGGAUUUUAUGGUGGAAGUUGGUAGAGGGCUCUUGGCUAUCAGGACAUAUGUUGAGCCAAAAGUUCCCUCCGGAGUUGAGCUAAAUGUUGUGGAGCCUUGCCGCCGAUGCCAUGAUCAACCACCGCCGAUGCCAUGA
RNAcentral lists this ribosomal RNA (1563 nucleotides) under Triticum aestivum (bread wheat). Its description in RNAcentral is "partial small subunit ribosomal RNA". Lineage: Eukaryota; Viridiplantae; Streptophyta; Magnoliopsida; Poales; Poaceae. The record is from RNAcentral.